UAUUGGGCGUAAAGAGCUCGUAGGCGGUUUGUCGCGUCUGUCGUGAAAGUCCGGGGCUUAACCCCGGAUCUGCGGUGGGUAUGGGCAGACUAGAGUGCAGUAGGGGAGACUGGAAUUCCUGGUGUAGCGGUGGAAUGCGCAGAUAUCAGGAGGAACACCGAUGGCGAAGGCAGGUCUCUGGGCUGUAACUGACGCUGAGGAGCGAAAGCAUGGGGAGCGAACAGGAUUAGAUACCCUGGUAGUCCAUGCCGUAAACGUUGGGCACUAGGUGUGGGGAACAUUCCACGUUUUCCGCGCCGUAGCUAACGCAUUAAGUGCCCCGCCUGGGGAGUACGGCCGCAAGGCUAAAACUCAAAGGAAUUGACGGGGGCCCGCACAAGCGGCGGAGCAUGCGGAUUAAUUCGAUGCAACGCGAAGAACCUUACCAAGGCUUGACAUGUUCUCGUUCGCCGUAGAGAUACGGUUUCCCCUUUGGGGCGGGUUCACAGGUGGUGCAUGGUUGUCGUCAGCUCGUGUCGUGAGAUGUUGGGUUAAGUCCCGCAACGAGCGCAACCCUCGUUCCAUGUUGCCAGCACUUCGGGUGGGGACUCAUGGAAGACUGCCGGGGUCAACUCGGAGGAAGGUGGGGACGACGUCAAAUCAUCAUGCCCCUUAUGUCUUGGGCUUCACGCAUGCUACAAUGGCCGGUACAAUGGGUUGCGAUACUGUGAGGUGGAGCUAAUCCCUAAAAGCCGGUCUCAGUUCGGAUUGGGGUCUGCAACUCGACCCCAUGAAGUUGGAGUCGCUAGUAAUCGUAGAUCAGCAACGCUACGGUGAAUACGUUCCCGGGCCUUGUACACACCGCCCGUCAAGUCACGAAAGUCGGUA
Molecule: ribosomal RNA, 867 nt
Filed under: Micrococcus sp. 2.10
Lineage: Bacteria; Bacillati; Actinomycetota; Actinomycetes; Micrococcales; Micrococcaceae
Description: bacterial SSU rRNA
Rfam family: Bacterial small subunit ribosomal RNA
Source: RNAcentral